RNAcentral lists this ribosomal RNA (460 nucleotides) under uncultured bacterium. RNAcentral's name for it is "partial 16S ribosomal RNA". It matches the Rfam family "Bacterial small subunit ribosomal RNA", at positions 338 to 795 of the family's 1533-position model. The record is from RNAcentral.
CCUACGGGGGGCAGCAGUGAGGAAUAUUGGUCAAUGGACGAGAGUCUGAACCAGCCAAGUAGCGUGAAGGAUGACUGCCCUAUGGGUUGUAAACUUCUUUUAUAUGGGAAUAAAAUGUUCCACGUGUGGGAUUUUGUAUGUACCAUAUGAAUAAGGAUCGGCUAACUCCGUGCCAGCAGCCGCGGUAAUACGGAGGAUCCGAGCGUUAUCCGGAUUUAUUGGGUUUAAAGGGAGCGUAGGUGGAUUGUUAAGUCAGUUGUGAAAGUUUGCGGCUCAACCGUAAAAUUGCAGUUGAAACUGGCAGUCUUGAGUACAGUAGAGGUGGGCGGAAUUCGUGGUGUAGCGGUGAAAUGCUUAGAUAUCACGAAGAACUCCGAUUGCGAAGGCAGUUCACUGGACUGCAACUGACACUGAGGCUCGAAAGUGUGGGUAUCAAACGGGAUUAGAUACCCGAGUAGUC